Molecule: long non-coding RNA, 209 nt
Organism: Cavia porcellus (domestic guinea pig)
Lineage: Eukaryota; Metazoa; Chordata; Mammalia; Rodentia; Caviidae
Exons: 3
Source: RefSeq, a predicted model, not a curated record
UGCCAAACUGUGUUGCUGUCUGUUUCCUUAAAUAGACCAGCUCUGUGCGGUGACAGCUGAGUUGGUGUGAAAAGCAGCAGGUGACAAAGAGGCCCCAGAAAGAUGGGAUCUUAUCAAAGCCAACCUGAACAGGAACCUGCACCAGAACCACAAAGUCAUGAUUCUGAAGCACAACACAAAGUUCAUGUAAAUGGUGUGUGGGGGCUUUG